This 238-nucleotide unclassified non-coding RNA is filed under the name Hyaloscypha sp. RNAcentral's name for it is "partial contains 5.8S ribosomal RNA, internal transcribed spacer 2, and large subunit ribosomal RNA". The stretch from base 1 to 52 matches the Rfam family "5.8S ribosomal RNA", at positions 103 to 154 of the family's 154-position model. The record is from RNAcentral. RNAcentral also lists the same sequence under 1 other name. Lineage: Eukaryota; Fungi; Ascomycota; Leotiomycetes; Helotiales; Hyaloscyphaceae.
AACGCACAUUGCGCCCCUUGGUAUUCCGAGGGGCAUGCCUGUUCGAGCGUCAUUAUAACCACUCAAGCCUUGGCUUGGUCUUGGGGUUCGCGGUUUCGCGGCCCUUAAAAUCAGUGGCGGUGCCGUUUGGCUCUAAGCGUAGUAAUUCUCUCGCUAUAGGGUCCAGGUGACCACCUGCCAGAACCCCCCAUUCUUUACGGUUGACCUCGGAUCAGGUAGGGAUACCCGCUGAACUUAA